Molecule: ribosomal RNA, 883 nt
Filed under: Lactiplantibacillus plantarum
Lineage: Bacteria; Bacillati; Bacillota; Bacilli; Lactobacillales; Lactobacillaceae
Description: bacterial SSU rRNA
Rfam family: Bacterial small subunit ribosomal RNA
Source: RNAcentral
GCAGUCGACGACUCUGGUAUUGAUUGGUGCUUGCAUCAUGAUUUACAUUUGAGUGAGUGGCGAACUGGUGAGUAACACGUGGGAAACCUGCCCAGAAGCGGGGGAUAACACCUGGAAACAGAUGCUAAUACCGCAUAACAACUUGGACCGCAUGGUCCGAGUUUGAAAGAUGGCUUCGGCUAUCACUUUUGGAUGGUCCCGCGGCGUAUUAGCUAGAUGGUGGGGUAACGGCUCACCAUGGCAAUGAUACGUAGCCGACCUGAGAGGGUAAUCGGCCACAUUGGGACUGAGACACGGCCCAAACUCCUACGGGAGGCAGCAGUAGGGAAUCUUCCACAAUGGACGAAAGUCUGAUGGAGCAACGCCGCGUGAGUGAAGAAGGGUUUCGGCUCGUAAAACUCUGUUGUUAAAGAAGAACAUAUCUGAGAGUAACUGUUCAGGUAUUGACGGUAUUUAACCAGAAAGCCACGGCUAACUACGUGCCAGCAGCCGCGGUAAUACGUAGGUGGCAAGCGUUGUCCGGAUUUAUUGGGCGUAAAGCGAGCGCAGGCGGUUUUUUAAGUCUGAUGUGAAAGCCUUCGGCUCAACCGAAGAAGUGCAUCGGAAACUGGGAAACUUGAGUGCAGAAGAGGACAGUGGAACUCCAUGUGUAGCGGUGAAAUGCGUAGAUAUAUGGAAGAACACCAGUGGCGAAAGGCGGCUGUCUGGUCUGUAACUGACGCUGAGGCUCGAAAGUAUGGGUAGCAAACAGGAUUAGAUACCCUGGUAGUCCAUACCGUAACGAUGAAUGCUAAGUGUUGGAGGGUUUCCGCCCUUCAGUGCUGCAGCUACGCAUUAGCAUCGCUGGGGAGUACGACGCAGCUGAACUCAAGAUUGGACGGGG